RNAcentral lists this ribosomal RNA (88 nucleotides) under Tofieldia sp. US:3530427. Its description in RNAcentral is "partial 5.8S ribosomal RNA". It matches the Rfam family "5.8S ribosomal RNA", at positions 73 to 154 of the family's 154-position model. From Rfam's summary of the family: 5.8S ribosomal RNA (5.8S rRNA) is a component of the large subunit of the eukaryotic ribosome. The record is from RNAcentral. Lineage: Eukaryota; Viridiplantae; Streptophyta; Magnoliopsida; Alismatales; Tofieldiaceae.
UGCAGAAUCCCGUGAACCAUCGAGUCUUUGAACGCAAGUUGCGCCCGAGGCCACUAGGCUGAGGGCACGCCUGCCUGGGCGUCACGCC